UCCCAGCCGCCGCGGUAAUACGUAGGGGGCAAGCGUUAUCCGGAAUCAUUGGGCGUAAAGGGUGCGUAGGCGGCCCUAUAGGUCAGAGGUCAAAGGCUACGGCUCAACCGUAGUAAGCCUUUGAAACUGUAGGGCUUGAGUGCAGGAGAGGAGAGUGGAAUUCCUAGUGUAGCGGUGAAAUGCGUAGAUAUUAGGAGGAACACCAGUGGCGAAGGCGACUCUCUGGACUGCAACUGACGCUGAGGCACGAAAGCGUGGGGAGCGAACAGGAUUAGAUACCCUGGUAGUCCACGCCGUAAACGAUGAGUGCUAGGUGUCGGGGGUCGAACCUCGGUGCCGCAGUUAACGCAUUAAGCACUCCGCCUGGGGAGUACGUACGCAAGUAUGAAACUCAAAGGAAUUGACGGGGACCCGCACAAGCAGCGGAGCACGUGGUUUAAUUCGAAGCAACGCGAAGAACCUUACCUGGACUUGACAUCCCUCGGACAGCUUUUUAACAGAAGCCUUCCCUUCGGGGACUGAGGUGACAGGUGGUGCAUGGUUGUCGUCAGCUCGUGUCGUGAGAUGUUGGGUUAAGUCCCGCAACGAGCGCAACCCUUGUCUUUAGUUGCCAGCAUUAAGUUGGGCACUCUAGAGAGACUGCCGGGGAUAACUCGGAGGAAGGUGGGGAUGACGUCAAAUCAUCAUGCCCCUUAUGUUCAGGGCUACACACGUGCUACAAUGGCCGAUACAACGGGCAGCCAAGGAGUAAUCCGGAGCGAAUCCUAUAAAAUCGGUCCCAGUUCGGAUUGUGGGCUGAAACUCGCCCACAUGAAGUUGGAGUUGCUAGUAAUCGCGGAUCAGAAUGUCGCGGUGAAUGCGUUCCCGGGUCUUGUACACACCGCCCGUCACACCACGGGAGUUGGAAGCACCCGAAGCCAGCUAUCUAACCGUAAGGAGGAAGCUGUCGAAGGUGAAGCUAAUGACUGGGGUGAAGUCGUAACAAGGUAACC
This 992-nucleotide ribosomal RNA is filed under the name uncultured bacterium. RNAcentral's name for it is "bacterial SSU rRNA". It matches the Rfam family "Bacterial small subunit ribosomal RNA", at positions 506 to 1501 of the family's 1533-position model. The record is from RNAcentral.